RNAcentral lists this ribosomal RNA (440 nucleotides) under uncultured bacterium. RNAcentral describes it as "partial 16S ribosomal RNA". It matches the Rfam family "Bacterial small subunit ribosomal RNA", at positions 338 to 795 of the family's 1533-position model. The record is from RNAcentral.
CCUACGGGUGGCAGCAGUGGGGAAUAUUGCACAAUGGGGGAAACCCUGAUGCAGCAACGCCGCGUGAGUGAAGAAGGAUUUCGGUAUGUAAAGCUCUAUCAGCAGGGACGAAAAUGACGGUACCUGAUUAAGAAGCCCCGGCCAACUACGUGCCAGGAACCGCGGUAAUACGUAGGGGGCAAGCGUGAUCCGGAUUUACUGGGUGUAAAGGGAGCGUAGACGGCAGCACAAGUCUGGUGUGAAAUGCCGGGGCUCAACCCGGGAACUGCUUUUGAAACUGUGCAGCUGGAGUGCGGGAGAGGUGAGUGGAAUUCCUAGUGUAGCGGUGAAAUGCGUAGAUAUUAGGAGGAACACCAGUGGCGAAGGCGACUUACUGGACUGUAACUGACGUUGAGGCGCGAAAGCGUGGGGAGCAAACAGGAUUAGAUACCCCUGUAGUC